RNAcentral lists this ribosomal RNA (492 nucleotides) under uncultured bacterium. Its description in RNAcentral is "partial 16S ribosomal RNA". It matches the Rfam family "Bacterial small subunit ribosomal RNA", at positions 29 to 507 of the family's 1533-position model. The record is from RNAcentral.
AGUGAACGCUGGCGGUAGGCCUAACACAUGCAAGUCGAACGGCAGCACAGUAAGAGCUUGCUCUUACGGGUGGCGAGUGGCGGACGGGUGAGGAAUACAUCGGAAUCUACUUUUUCGUGGGGGAUAACGUAGGGAAACUUACGCUAAUACCGCAUACGACCUACGGGUGAAAGCAGGGGAUCUUCGGACCUUGCGCGAUUGAAUGAGCCGAUGUCGGAUUAGCUAGUUGGCGGGGUAAAGGCCCACCAAGGCGACGAUCCGUAGCUGGUCUGAGAGGAUGAUCAGCCGCACUAGAACUGAGACACGGUCCAGACUCCUACGGGAGGCAGCAGUGGGGAAUGUUGGACAAUGGGCGCAAGCCUGAUCCAGCCAUACCGCGUGGGUGAAGAAGACCUUCGGGUUGUAAAGCCCUUUUGUUGGGAGAGAAAAGCAGCAGGUUAAUACCCCGCUGUUCUGACGGUACCCAAAGAAUAAGCACCGGCUAACUUCGUG